GACGAACGCUGGCGGCGUGCUUAACACAUGCAAGUCGAACGGAAAGGCCCUGCUUUUGUGGGUUGCACGAGUGGCGACCGGGUGAGUAACCCGUGAGUAACCUGCACCUCACUUAGGGAUAUCCUCACGCCACCGGGGCUAUUAACGGAUACGAGCUCCUGCCGCAUGGUGGGGGUUGGAAAGUUUCGGCGGUUGGGGAUGUACUCGCGGCCUACCAGCUUGCUGGUUGGCUAGUGGCUUACCAUGGCUUUGACGGGUACCCGGCCUGACAGGGUGACCGGCCACAGUAGGACUGAGAUACGGCCCAGACACGAACGGGAGGCAGCGGUGGGAAAUAUUGCACUAUGGGCGGAAGCCUGGUGCAACGACGCCGCGUGCGGGAUAGGCGCCUAGUGGUUGUAAACCGCUUUCGCCUGUGACGAGGCGAUAGUGACGGUAACGGGUAAAGAAGCACCGGCUAACUACGUG
RNAcentral lists this ribosomal RNA (468 nucleotides) under uncultured bacterium. RNAcentral's name for it is "partial 16S ribosomal RNA". It matches the Rfam family "Bacterial small subunit ribosomal RNA", at positions 28 to 507 of the family's 1533-position model. The record is from RNAcentral.